This 245-nucleotide ribosomal RNA is filed under the name uncultured bacterium. RNAcentral describes it as "partial 16S ribosomal RNA". It matches the Rfam family "Bacterial small subunit ribosomal RNA", at positions 524 to 768 of the family's 1533-position model. The record is from RNAcentral.
AACGUAGGAGGCGAGCGUUAUCCGGAUUUACUGGGCGUAAAGCGCGUGUAGGCGGCUCGAAAAGUUGGAUGUGAAAGCUCCUGGCUUAACUGGGAGAGGUCGUUCAAGACUUUCGGGCUAGAGGUCAUGAGAGGGAAGUGGAAUUCCGGGUGUAGUGGUGAAAUGCGUAGAUAUCCGGAGGAACACCAGUGGCGAAAGCGGCUUCCUGGCAUGAAACUGACGCUCAGACGCGAAAGCUAGGGUAG